UUUAUUUUAGCCUUCAUUGCUAAUUGAUGCUGUAACUGCCAGUAUAAUCAUUGCCUUUCACCUGAACUCUCUGAUUUCUGCCUGCUGGAAUUUAUACUGAAAAUAGUAAUAUGUUGUUUGUAAAUGAAUUGAUUGAUUUAUGAACUGCCUUUGUUCUUUAUGGCUGGUUUAUGAUUGGAUUGACAACCUACGGAUGUCCCCUACUGGUUCGUAAGUGAGAUUGGCUAUUUGCUGGUUUGCCUUUUACUGAUUCCAUUUGGCUGAUUGUAACAACUCUGCCCUUUGGUAUGUAUGUGUUUGUGAUAGCCUUUUCUGCUCUGAUAUGGGUGUUUGUGUUGACUAGAUAUUUGCACCAACUCCCGCCUUGGCUAGCACGUCAUUCAUACAACCAUUCUGCCUUGCAUCUCAAGUUCCUCAAUCUUUAUUGCUAUAACCGAGGCUUCAUCAAAUUUGCCAGGGUCAAUCUUGGAAAUAGAAGAAACCCAAUUUAAGUGUGUCCGAAUAUUUAAGGUUUCAUUAUGCCAACGAAAGAUGUUUAAAGAGAGCUCCUGCGAGAGACUAAUUGACACUUGUAAUAAUGUAGGAUAUAUUCAUUGUCCUUCAUGUAGCCAGGUGGUUCCUACUAUGAUGGGGGUUUGAAGUGUAUUCACCUAUUUCCUUUUUGUACACUGUUUUGAUANNNNNNNNNNNNNNNNNNNNNNNNNNNNNNNNNNNNNNNNNNNNNNNNNNNNNNNNNNNNNNNNNNNNNNNNNNNNNNNNNNNNNNNNNNNNNNNNNNNNGAAAGCAUGUAAUAAUUGAUGAUUUUAAUGGAGAAUGUCUAUAGUUGAAAACCGUGAGAUGUCAUUUACACUCAUAGGUUGCAUUUGAUUUUUUGUUUGUAACACCUCAUUUUUUCUGACCACCAAUUGAUUUUUACAAUUUAAACAAAACUGAUAAAUUAAAUUCCAAUCAAACGAGCCGAUAACUAAUUGAUCCUUGGUUGUGAUUCGAAGACAAAGUUGACUAUGAGACAAUAAAAUGUAAAUUUUUUAUUCUUUUGUUGUUUUGAAAAAUUUAUAUUAUUGUAAAAAGGCCGGACAAAAUUGAGUGUUCACAAGAAACAUCAAUUUGAAGACAAUUUUAGUUAAGCUUUGGACUUAAAUGGUGAAGAAAUGGAACCUCAAUAUGAAACAACUUUGACUCAUUGGUGUUAAAGUUUUAAAUAUAUAAUAUAUUUUGUAGACUGAGUUAUGAACUUGCGUCAUAUGUUUCGAGUUUGUUAAGUAAGACAAGUACUUGUGGAUUACUAUUUGUAUUUGUAAUUUAGACUUUAGAUUUAUUAAAGUUGUUUGUUUAUGAGAAUUCUUACUUUGACUAUAAAUAUGGAUUAUAAAUUUGAGUAUCUACAUCUUAGAUAAUUUUUGUUACAGGUUAUAUAUAAGCAUGUAUAUUCGGUUUAACCGGUUUAAUCUCAUAUGGUUUAAUUAUUAAACCAAUGGUUGAACCACUAAACCACUAAACCAGUACCCUCACCGAUUUGAUUGACCAGUCCAGUUUUAAUAACAUUGGUUUAAAUCCCACAAUACCCCAAGUAUUCUAAUUUUUUAUUUUUAUUCUAUUUGUCCGACCGCAUUAUCACAAAUGAAAACUUAUCAAUCCAACAAUCCAAUGUUGGGAUGGCUAUUACUUUAGUUAAUUAUUUUUUCUUAAUUUCAAAAUUACUCUUUUAGUGGACUACUCAAAACUACUUUUUUAAAUUUGCUUCUUUAUUUAAUUAAAAAAUACAUUGCCAACUCUUCUAAGUUUACCUUUUAAUUAAAUGAUUAAUUUAAAAAAUUUGUUUUUAGUUGUUAAUUCAAAUUAUCUUUUAAUUAAUUUCUUUAAGUUAAUUUUAGGAUUUAAAAUAAAAGGCAUGACUUGAUUCAUAUGUUUUUUCUGCUCCAAAUUGAGAAGUAGUUAUAGUCUUUAAUAACGUUUCUUCUAUCUUUCAACAUAAGAAGAUGAUUUACAAUCAAUGUUAUAUCUUUUUUACUAAUUCUAUUUCAAUUAAGUAUUUCCUUUCAAAUUUUUAUAAAAAAUAGAUGUUACUAAAAAUAUUUUUUGUUAACUAUAAUAAGGGUUAUAAUAGUGAUUACAAUUAGUAUAACAUAUUUCCUUUUUAUUUGGGUUGAGAAUCUGUCGUGAUCACCAAUACUACCUUUGUUAUUAUCUCAUAAAUUAGGGAGGACAAUAUAUGGUCUCUUUCAUUUCUUUCCACCUUAAUUAAUUAAAAUCAAACCAACUCACCGACUAUUUUUAUCUCAAAACUAUAUAAUCUUAAUCUUAUUCUAGAACUACAUAAGGAUAAAAUAAACUCUUUAAUUUACUCUAAUAAUUAAAUAUUUAAUCAAACAAGAUUAUGGUAUUAUUAAGUCCAUACGAUUAGCGAUGAUAUCAUUUUAAUAACGGACAAAUGAGGUGUUAAUACACUCACCUAUUCAUAAUUGACUUCCGAGCUUAGAACUCUAGUUCAAUGACCAUAACUUUUGAGAUUGAGCAUAAAUAAGCUUUUUGCGUUUUGUUCAUGCAAAAAAUGUAGCAGUAACUCCAAAUCAUCAAGAGAGGGUGAAAUCAUUUCAUUUUCCUUUCUUUUCAAUGUUAUGAAACCCGAGCCGAACAUCAAACCGAAAGAGUUCCCGUAUUAGGUUUAACCGGUUCUAGUAAUUAAACCGUCUGGUCGGACCAGAUGAUUUCAUAUAUAAUUCAUCAUUUUUCUCUAUAAAUAUUAUUUAUAUAUAAAUAAUUUUUUUAUAUAAUUAUAUGAAAUAACAUUUCCAUCUUUUUUAGACCAGAGUAAAACAAAAUAUUAGAGUAAUAUUCUGUUUUUUUUAAAUUUUAAGUGAAUCGUGUGGUUCACUUCGCAAAUUAUUGCGGUUCAGUUGAGUUUAACAUGGUUGGACCAGAAUUUCUCCGGUUCAAAGUGGUUCAACCCCUCAAUCGAUUAAGACUACAAACCAGAGCCAUUUUCAAGUUCGGUCAGUGGUCAAACCGAUCAAACCGUUCGGUUCGAUCCGGUUAUCACAUCACUGUUUCUUUCUGUUCCUAAGUCGUGAAGCCGAUAUGUAAAACAUUGGAUCGUGACAAUGACAAUUAAAUUUUAUAUAUAAUCAAUAUUGUUGGGUACCAACAAGGUAAAACACAUCUACAGGGGGAGGUGAAUAGGUGUAGCAGAUCACUAGUCCCACUUUUCUAAUAAAUUUGUAAAACUGAAAAUCACUAAUGUUAAUCGAUUAUGAGUCUUGUUAAUGGAUUAUUCUCAGUAUUGCUUAAUCGACUAUUAACAGUCUUAAUCGGUUAUCCUGUAUAUUGUUAUUCUAGAAAAUCUGAUUUCUUGCAACACAAUCAAAGUGAUUAUCAUUUUUAUGACCUUAAUUUGAUUACUAAUUUUAUCCCAGAUUAUGAACGGUAAGCACAAAUCACAGAAAUCAAAAACUCAAAGAAUCAUAAAAACUGAAAAGUAAAAUAAAUAGGGAAAAUAAGAAUGCUCAAUGAUUUUUAUCCUUGUUUGUUUGUUGGUCCACUUGCAAACUACAUUCAAACCUUUCAUUCUGAUCUUGAGAGAUUUUCUUCACUAUGGAAAUUAAUUAUUCUUACAAGCACACUUCCAAUACAAGCAACAAGAACUCCCUUCUCGAAUCUGUUGAGCCCUAACUCGGUUUGACCACUCCACUCACCUACUCAAAUACCAACACCUUUUGCGAUUCUGGCCCCAACCGCUUUCUCGCUAUAUCCAAGACUUUCUUGCGCUCAUGAAGAUACCAAAUAUUCUCUUUUUCAAGUGGUACCAAAACACCAAGAGAGCAACUCCUUGAUUGACUAUUUUUGCUGAGUUAUGAUGCACACUUAAUGUGCUAAUAUAACUUUGAAUCUCAGCUCUAAACCUUUCGCAGAACCCUCACAAGAAGCCUAAACUAGAUAUGAUAAAAUGCAAUGGUUUCUGAAAAAUGUAUGAAAGUAAUGCACUCUUUUGAAAAGAUUUUCCUCUCUUUUCUCUCAAUGAUUUCAAAUAAACUUUGCAAGAAUCCACAUUAUGCUUUCACUCAGAGAAUAAGCAAGAUGAUAUGAAAUUUCUAAACUCAGAUUCUUGUUUUUUGUUUUUCUUAUGAUUAUCAUGCAUGUCGUGCCUCGAUUUUCGGCUGCACGACCUUAUUAGAUUAUCACCUACUAGGUGUUCUCGGGAGUUAGUAACAGUGACAUCCAUAUCUGACGUAUCAAUUUCGUAAUGAUCGAUAACACGUGAGAUAAAAAUCCUAUAAGGAAGUAGCCUAGAAGAAGAUGAGGUUAUACCAUUCACGACCUUCAGAAUUUCAGCAGGCCAAUUUUCCGUAAUUCCUUCUCUUAUUGAAAACAUUAACUUAAGAUCAUUGAUAGUCGGUUGCACAUGAUUUGUGUUAUGUUGAACCAAAAUAUAUGCAAUUAAGUAAUGCAAGAGUCGACCCUCAACAGAUAAUGAACCAUCCUUGGUUAAUUCACCUUGCACAUAUAGGCGAGGUCUUCUUAGACAAGACUUGUACAUCUCAAUAACAUCAAAUAAGUUCCAUAACUCAUUGUGACAAUCACCCAACAAAGGUUCAUCGCUAGACAGUCCUCCAACGUCCAAAAAUAUUUCUUCAUCCAAAACAAUCAACUUUCCUAUAAUCAUUGAAGUAUAAACUUCGUCCUUAUACCGAAAAUUAUUGUAAAAUUCCCUUAUCAAGGAUGGAUAUAUUUUACCUUUGAGCUCCAAAAAAUGAUUUGCUCCUUGUACUUCUAAUCCACGAGGGAACUUAAAACCUUGUUCCACCAUCCAAGCUAUAUAUGCGUAGCGAAUGUAAGUCUGUUUCCCUCCUUGGAAUUUUGCUAAUCUAGCUUCUUGAAGGAUGGGAGAGUAGUAAAGGUCACCAUGAUCUUUUCUUCCACCUUGAGCAGAAGAUGAAUUGACGUCCACUCCUCUUGGACGCUUAGUUGUGGUUUUUAUCCUUCUUGGUCGUGAUUCACUCAUAAUUUUUAGGUAAGGGAAUGUCUAAUCGAUUGUAUAAUCGAAUUUCCGAAUUGGGAAUUAGGUUUCCUAAAAAGGGAAAGCUAGGAUUUUGGAUUUUGAUUAGAUUGAAGACUCUAGGGAGAUAAAUUUUGUGUAAUAGGAGAUGAAUUUACUAUUGUGGAGGUCAAAAUCUAUUGAUUUGAGGAAAAAUCCAGAAGGGGAAGCUAUGAGGUUUUUAGGAAUUUAGUGGAAGUGACCUAGAAUUGCACUGGAAUCUGUUUUAUGUCCGACAUUAAUCUAUCAAGACGAGUGUUUAAUCUAUUAUCAUAUUUAAACAAAUGCCCAGUUUAAUCGACUAAAGCCUUAGUUAAUCAAUUAAUGAUUUUAAAAAAAUUCAUUCUUCAGAAAUUUGAGCUCAAGCAAUCGAUUAAGCAGUUUGUUAAUCGAUUAAUGUAAGAUAGUAAUUCAUUUCCAGGUUAUUGGAACUCAAAUUAAUUGAUUAUAAUAUAGAACAAUCGAUUAAUAGUAGAACUAAGACAGAUUUUAGUGCAUUUUUUAGAUUUCUAGGAGAUACUACUAUACUCAAGACUUUAAUCUAAGAGGUAUAUAACACACUAAAAGAAACAUAAAAUAAUCAUGAAUUUAGUUAAGCAUAGGAAUCAUACAUUCGUAUCAAUUACCACACAUAAGCAUAUAUUAAAGAUCAAGACAAGGCAUAUAUUAUCCUGAAGCAAGUUAAUUUUGAUAUUUUUCAUCAAGUAUGUCGAGUUUCCUACGUAAUACAAAGAACAUAUCUCGUGGAAGGGGUUUGGUGAAUACAUCAGCUAAUUGCUUUGAGGUUUUAACAAACUCAAGAAUGCAAUCACCUUUUUGUACAU
This 5856-nucleotide long non-coding RNA is filed under the name Lupinus angustifolius (narrow-leaved blue lupine). Its description in RNAcentral is "long non-coding RNA (LANG_LNC001963)". Lineage: Eukaryota; Viridiplantae; Streptophyta; Magnoliopsida; Fabales; Fabaceae. The record is from RNAcentral.